This 491-nucleotide ribosomal RNA is filed under the name uncultured bacterium. RNAcentral describes it as "partial 16S ribosomal RNA". It matches the Rfam family "Bacterial small subunit ribosomal RNA", at positions 29 to 506 of the family's 1533-position model. The record is from RNAcentral.
AGUGAACGCUGGCGGUAGGCCUAACACAUGCAAGUCGAACGGCAGCACAGUAAGAGCUUGCUCUUACGGGUGGCGAGUGGCGGACGGGUGAGGAAUACAUCGGAAUCUACUUUUUCGUGGGGGAUAACGUAGGGAAACUGACGCUAAUACCGCAUACGACCUACGGGUGAAAGCAGGGGAUCUUCGGACCUUGCGCGAUUGAAUGAGCCGAUUUCGGAUUAGCUAGUUGGCGGGGUAAAGGCCCACCAAGGCGACGCUCCGUAGCUGGGCUGAGAGGAUGGCCAGCACAACGGGACCGGGGACCGGGCCCAACCCCCUACGGGAGGCAGAGGUGGGGAAUAUUGGAAAAUGGGCGCAAGCCUGCGCCAGCAAUCCCGGGUGGGUGAAGAAGUCCUUCGGGUGGUAAAGCCCUUUUGUUGGGAAAGAAAAGCAGCAGGUUAAUUCCCCGCUGUUCUGAGGUUACCAAAAGAAUAAGCACCGCUUACUUUCGU